UAUUCAGCUCUUUUACAGGAACCCUGGAUUUGCCAGGCUGGAUCAAACCCAAUCUCUGUCUCCAACAGCAGCCAGUGUUGCUGGCUUCCAUGGUAGCACACGAAUCCCCUGCAGCAGGAGUGCUGCUGGUAACCCAGCCAGGCAGCAGGCUUCCUUCCCACCACCCGGGAAGACGUGGGUGAUGUGUUGGAGCAACGAGGUUUAUCUCCGUUCUAUAGAUUUUAAUGCCCACUGAUCUGGUGCCCUCACCUCUUGCUAUUAUUUACUCUGGAGAAAAGCAAAUAAAACCCUGCAAGUUGAGCUGAGGCCACUAAUGCAGUUUGCGCAAAUACUGCACUGGUGUAAAUGAUGCUGCAGGAUGGCCAUCAGGCUCACAAGGGCGUGGGUUUGCUCUUUCCCAUUAUGACCACUGAAUAUUUUAACUACUGACAUGUAUGGCCAAUUGUUAAUUGUUUUAAUCUUUAAGCUGGUUUAAGCCCCCUUGUGUUUCCCCCCCCACCAGCAGCUCCCUGCCUUCGGCUUCCCUGCACUGACCUAACGCCCACACUGAGUGCCCAAACAAACGCCAGGGAGGCUGAACCACCACAAUACAACUUGCCAAAGGGGCUGAUCCUGGCUCAGCCAAACCUGAAAGCGGGGAGAGGAGGAGAAAACGGGGACCCACUCAAAAUGAGACAGCUGUGGAGGGAAAUGGGUGCAGGGACAGAGAGAGAAGAGGAGUGAGAUCGCUAAACAGAUGGCUGGGGGAAGAGCCAGUGAAAGAGAAGAGAAGCAGACAGAUGGAGGACAGAGAGGAGUGGGGGUUUUCUGUUGAUGGAUAAACACAAGAAGCAACAAGUUGGAGGUUCUGACCGGCCAGGGAACUGCUCUUCCAGAGAUAUGAAAACCUCGACAGCGUUGGAAAGCUCAGCCAGGUGUUUUACCAAUGUUACUGGCAGCUGCGCACCAUCCCAGCAAGACGAGGGAGAUCGAGGUGCUGAAAGCAAUUAGAAGUGAGCUGGAAGUAAAGCAUGCUAACCUAAGCUACCUGUCCAGAGUUUCCUUGUCAACAAAAGCAAAAUAUACAAACUCCAGAGGAGAGACGUCCUGUAUCAUGGGGGACUACUGGAGCCUGCUGCUGCGAGGGAACAUUGCUGUGUUAUCUGAUAGUUGUGAGCAGCACGUUUGGGCCCCUUCCUGGCUGAUGUUACUUACUGCCAGCAUCUGCCUCCAACCUUCACUGCCUUGCAGCAAGCAGUGGCUGCCCAGGCAGGGAUGCAAACCAGCCCACGCAUGUUUAUGUGCAAAAUAAAACUAAGUGGACUUGAAGGAUGCUGCUCGAGAGAGACUGCUUAAAGGAGGAAGACAACAUCCAUAGGUGAGGUGAGGACAAUGCCAUGCUCCAUCCCAUACGGUUGUCCCAUGCAGCCUGGCUGUCCCUGUCUGGCACCCUCUCUGUUGGCAGGGUGACAGUUAACGUGAACAGCUCAAAGACACUUUGCCAACAGGGGUGGAUUAAACUCAGCUUCAUUGCUGUCAGGGGCUUCUCUAGCUCUUCCCUGGCUAGUGAAAAUGUUUGGAAAGUUGGCCAGUGGGUGUAUUAAUUGGCUUGUGUGAUAUUUAUUUGAAUUUUAAUUGGAUGAGAAAUCAAUAGAAAUAACUAUUAUUAUGAAACUGAAUAAUGAAGCAGCAGUAGAAUUAGUGACCCAUUUUUAGCAGAAAGAAAUACUUUUUUAUUACUUAAAACAAGCUUAAAUUAACAACUGCAGAUAAUGGUUCCCCAGAGUUAGAUAAGGGGUUAAGGAUCAUUGCUCGCAGCGAUGACAGGCUACUCACUAAAGUUGGUGAGUUAUGUUUCAAGGUUAGGGUUUAUAGCUCGGAUAUAUUGUCUCCAAGUGAGUGAAACUUGGUUGACUGGCAUGCCAAAUGACUCACAAAUUGACCUGAAAAAUAGCUUUGCCCCCUGCAGCCCCUGUUGUGUAAAUGAUGUUUUGGAAACCUCCGAUUGUGUGGCCAGUUAUAAGAUUCAUCUCAUUUGAAGGAGAAGUGGAAAAGAUGAGUGUAAUCUGGAAACAAAGGACCCUGUGCCCCCAGAUUUUGGCACAGGAGCUGAGCUGCUGAUGCCAGUUGAAAGGCUGCUGUCGCUCGUUGCGGCUUUGGGAAGUGACGAGGUCGACACCUUAUUUCAGAAAGACGUUUCUCAGCCUGGCCCUACAGCUGGCAGCGUCAGCACAGUGGAGGGGCCGUGCACGAGGAAUGAGGACGAAGUUGCCCUGAAAGCUUUAAUCUUGUGAAACCUCAGCCCGGUUCUCUCAGUGCCUUGAGCCUGCCUGAAUAUGCAUUAGAUCAGAGCAAUGCUACCCACUGAUGUUCAGGAGGUUCGGUGUUAAUGGGUUAGACACGCUUAGAUUAGAAGUUGAGUUUCGGUGCAGUUCUGCCUCACCAGCAGCUUUGCAGGGCCAGAUGAGAAUCCGUUUGUGACAAAAACCUAAAAAUAUCAAACAACUCUGGCAAACUGACUGGCCCUUUAUUGCGAACGAUGUCGGGCCCUUUGUGGAGACAUUUAUCCCAGCACUGAUUGCCCGUGGCCAGCCCAGUCCAGGUGCCAGAGUCCAGCUGCAGGGCACCAGAAAAUCAGUCACAUUUUCAUCCAGAUGUCACCAAGGGGAAGUUUCUUUCAUGUUUCUGUCAUAUUUAAUGGUGUCUGAGCUUAAAAUAAACCUACUAAAGGCUCGGCUUCACCUUGGAUUGCUGCUCCUCUGUAAUCAUUUACGCUGGUAAAAGUGGUGUAAUUCACAUUUCAUUUAUGCCCACGACACGGUACAUGCAGCAGCAGGGGAACCUGGC
This is a long non-coding RNA of Cygnus olor (mute swan), 2826 nucleotides long. RefSeq lists it as uncharacterized. The record is from RefSeq and is a predicted model, not a curated record. Lineage: Eukaryota; Metazoa; Chordata; Aves; Anseriformes; Anatidae. The transcript is spliced from 4 exons.